CAGUAGCCGCGGUAAUACGAAGGGUGCAAGCGUUACUCGGAAUUACUGGGCGUAAAGCGUGCGUAGGUGGUGGUUUAAGUCCGUUGUGAAAGCCCUGGGCUCAACCUGGGAAUUGCAGUGGAUACUGGGUCACUAGAGUGUGGUAGAGGAUAGUGGAAUUUCCGGUGUAGCAGUGAAAUGCGUAGAGAUCGGAAGGAACAUCUGUGGCGAAGGCGGCCAUCUGGGACAACACUGACGCUGAGGCACGAAAGCGUGGGGAGCAAACAGGAUUAGAUACCCCUGUAGUCCCUGUCUCUUAUAC
Molecule: ribosomal RNA, 301 nt
Filed under: uncultured bacterium
Lineage: Bacteria
Description: partial 16S ribosomal RNA
Rfam family: Bacterial small subunit ribosomal RNA
Source: RNAcentral